ACAUAGGCUGCUUCAGAAAGGUAAGCCAACGUUGUACCAGUGUCGAUGAUUGUUCCCUGACCGUUCGAUGUGGAGAAGACAGAUGGAUUGAUAGGUAGAGCUUGGCCAUUCACUGAGAUGCUCAGCAGAUUCACAUUGUAAUGAGGCCUGAGAUCAUAUGAUUAACAUUUGAACAAUUCUUUUUGAAACGAAACUGUUUAGAGGAGGGAUAAAGAGAUAUUUUACUGUGAGGGAACGAGUGGAGUAAAGACCAUGUUCGGCUCCACAAUCUCUCCAAGAACCAAUAUCCCUCCGCCUCCGUUCUCUCCUUUCAAGCAGUGUGAGAACACUCUAGGAGCUACUCCCUGCGAAGCGAGCUGAGAGAUCACAGACAUUCCUUGUUGCCCGAACCCGAAGAUCCCAUCAACAGCUCGGUCCGACUUCACUAGAUCCCCCGUCUGCGAGGUGCUGCAUCUGUUCCAGAACGAAAUCAAGUCUAGUGGCACGUAUUGAUGAUUUUUGAACAUUUGAUGAAAUAAACUCACCCGAACACAACCUGAGUCGUUGAGUUUGGGACGAGAGAGCUUCCUACAAUCAUGUCAAACUGCAAGAGAUCGGAGACGUAGUACCCCGAGGUGCCGCUUCCGUCACCGUACUGAAACGUGUAAGCGCAGAGGUUGUUCUGAACAGAACAGCCUGAGUCGCUCUUUCUGAACUCUCCGCAGUUGAGUUUCCGUUCGAAGCUCUCUCAUUCUCCUAUAAACCUUCCUCUCCACCGCAUCCUUCAACCACUACCUUCUUAGCUUUCUUACGGAUCUUCUUCUUCUUCUGAUUCUUAGUCAUAUCCGCACCGUACGUGUAACUCUUAGUUUCUUCUUUAUCAACGGUAACCGUCUUGUCCUUAUCGGUUGGAAGAACGAGAGGAGUACCAGAGCUCCGAGCAUCUGCUUCAGGGUUGAUGGUGGAACAUAACAGAAUGUUCUCCGGGUUGAUAUCGGUGUGAAUAAUAGAGAGCUUGCGGUGGAGAUAAUCCAACCCAACUAAAAUAUGGAAACAGAGCUCUUUCACCAUGCUAAGAGGAACACCUCGGUAAUCGCUGUACUUGAUGACCGACAAGAGGUUAUCUCCCAAAUACUCGAAGACCAUGCAAACAUGUUGCCCGUUAGGACCCGCGUGCUUGAAAUGAUCAAGAAGCUUGACAACACACUUGCUAUCAUCAGCGUCGCCUUCAGCAAUCUGUUUCAAGAUUUUAAUCUCGUCCAUUGCUGCCUCAGUGUAGUGCUGUGCGCUCUUCUGGAUCUUCAAAGCUACAUAACGCUACAACAAAAAAAGGAAAAUCAAAAUCUAUAUUCCACAUAAAGCUUCCACAUUUCAACAAUCUUAUUCUACAGCAAUGCAAGAAGCUAGCUCAAUCGCAGCAAAGGAACUUUCUUUUACUAAGACCCUAAAGUUGAAUCUCUUACAAAAGCUCUCUUGAGAAGUGAAAGUGAGCUUACAGAGUUUAGGGUGUCCCAGGCAAGCCAAACAGUGGAGAAGUGACCCCAACCAAGCUUACUCUGAAUCACAUAAGAUCCAUUCUUGAAAGUAUCGCCCACUCGCACCGCGUGGUAGCCUCCUCUCCUGUAAUCCUCUGUUCCUUCAUCCUCCGACGAGUAAUCGCUAGCGUCGCUGAGACGUCCGCCGUUCUUCUCAUCCGCCAUCGCCGGAGUUGAACUAAACACCGAUAAGAGGCUUAAGAAGUUAAGGAGAGGAGAAAAACUGAGAAAGUAUGCUAAAUGCGAAUCUCAAUCGAUACUCCAGAGAUCUGGGGAUAUCCAAUUUUAGAAACCCUAGGUUUGAAGAAGAUUACCAAAAAUAUUAGUCGAAUUAAGUCGUUGUUGUAGUAUUUGUGGUAAUUAUUUAUGUCAUACGAGUAACCUGGGUUCGAAUCUCGAUGACCGCCGACUUAUCUCUCUCUAGAAGUAUGGGCCUCUCUUAAUUUAUUAAGCCGACGGACCCUUUAGUUUGGGCCUUCUACACGUAGUCUAAAACCCAUUGGCAUAUAUCAUUGUGAGCAGUGACUACGAUGGAAAUAUUUCUCAGGAACCAAACCCAAAACCUAACUAAAACCGAACCAAACGGUUUUUAUAUAAAUAACCUGAUAGUUGCUCAAAAAAAAAAUAUAAAUUACCUGAUAUUUUUGAAGUACCCUACUUGAAACUAUCUAAUUUUAUUUCUUGAAAACCCUGAAUUAUCCUAACAUUUUCUCCAAACUACCAGAAAGUAUCAAAAAAAAGGAAACCAAAUCGGACUAAACUAGACAUGAAAUUUUCUCGGGUAUUAAUUGGCCAAAAUUAUUAUAUCAAUUGAACUGAAAACCUAAAAAAAAAAACGAACUGAACUGGAUUUUCUAAACUAUCCGAACAUAUCUUAUAACCGAGAAACUGAAAACUUUAUAAAAAAUGAACCGAACCAAAGUGCUAAGGCCUAAUUGUGACUCGAAGGUUUGAAAUUUGUUUAAGGUUCAGGGGUUUAGGGCACUACUGUUGAAGGUCUUUGAUCGGUAGUUGACUAAGAGAUUAGUGUUUUGAGCAAUGCAUUUGGCCACUUGUCUAUUGAUAGCCUUUUUCAAAAUAGUCAUUUAUACGAUAGGUUUAGCUAAUCUAGACUUAUAGUUUAGAGUUAAGAGAUGGAGUUUUGAAGAUAUGAUUUCAAAUUUUAAAAAUAAAAAGAAGCUAUUUUGAUCAUUUUUCUUAUUGAAUGUUGUUUUUGUGACAAAACCUCAAAAAUCAACAUUUGAGGAAAUUGUCCUAUUAAAUAUCUAAUUACUUUAGUGUAUUAUACUUGAUAUCAAAAUAAUGCCUUGGAUCAGAACAAAGAGAUACUUGUUUUAAUAUUUGUGACUUGACGUUUUGAAACUUGUUUUAGUAUUAAGGGUCCUAUUGUUGAAGGUCCUUGAUCGGUAGUUGACUAAGAAUUAGUUUUUGAGUAAUGCAGUUGCCUCUGGUCAUUUGAUGCACUUCAUAUUCUUUUAUGCUCUUGGGUAUUGAAUAUCUAAUUACUUUAGUGUAUUAUACUUGAUACAAAAUAGUGCCUUGGAUCAGAACAAAUAGAUACACAAACACCACUAAGAAACCAAUUAUUUACAUCCGAAACUAUAACAAUAGAAUGUAACAAACAAGGAAGCUAACUUCUCUUCUGCUUGGCUUCGCCGGUCGGGAGAUAAUUACUCUCCAGCGACCACAAACAACACACAAGAAACUAGAUAAAUGCAAAUCUGUAAAAGUUGUCUGCUAUAAAAACAUGUUGAUUACCAAUAGUAAUAACAUAAUAAUGUUUCCGACAAUGUCCAAAGACAGCUUCUGAGGCGCCGCAUUGUCACUAAACUGUCCUGCGUUCACGUACUCGCUUCUUCCGCUGCUGCUAGUCGCAGAUACAUUUACAGACAUUGAACCUGAAAGAAGUUGAGAGAUUUGUUAAGUGUGGAAAGAUGAGAUGGCUUUUGUAUCACGUUUGAGUUUAAAAGGAAUGAGAUUCUUACAGUCAUAGUUUGCCCAUCCAAUUCUCUGACCGACCAGAUCAUAGACAAAGAUUUUGUCUUUAAGAACUAAAUCUGCAUAUCAAAAGAUGAAAACAUAUGUUUCUGUGCUACAGAACGUAAAUUUCAAGUAAUAAGGCUUACCUCCAAGGAUCGUUAUCCCUUGAUUCUGUAUCCUUUGAAAACCGAUGCACCACACUGCAGUACCUCCCUACAGAGCAUAGUCCAGAGACUAAUGUUAUACCGGAAGAAAACAGAUUUCUAUAAAUGGAAACAGAGAUAAAGUACUUACGACGUUGUUUUGCUGUAUGAGGUAAUCCUGAGGAUUCAAGAACAUGGAUGCUCCACCAGCAAAGUUCAAGCUGACCGGUGGAAACACGUCUGCCACACUGACAAUUUUACAGUAACAACCAAACAAAUGUUUCAGCAUUUUUUUCCAAUAUAUUGAUACUACUAAUAAGAAGACAUGCAUAGAGAUGGUACGAACCGAACCUAGUGGUUAAUACGUAACAUUGAUUCCCUUUGGAAACAACGGGUCUCACAGACUGCGAAACAGCAUUCGUGAUCUGAAAAUUUCCAUAAGAAAGAUUUGUUUUUUAGAUACGCUAUGAAGACAAAACUACACAUGGGAGUUUUAUUACUUACAGCUUCAACGAAAGGAACAUAGGCUGCUUCAGAAAGGUAAGCCAACGUUGUACCAGUGUCGAUGAUUGUUCCCUGACCGUUCGAUGUGGAGAAGACAGAUGGAUUGAUAGGUAGAGCUUGGCCAUUCACUGAGAUGCUCAGCAGAUUCACAUUGUAAUGAGGCCUGAGAUCAUAUGAUUAACAUUUGAACAAUUCUUUUUGAAACGAAACUGUUUAGAGGAGG
Molecule: long non-coding RNA, 4364 nt
Filed under: Brassica napus (rape)
Lineage: Eukaryota; Viridiplantae; Streptophyta; Magnoliopsida; Brassicales; Brassicaceae
Description: long non-coding RNA (BNAP_LNC001137)
Source: RNAcentral